GACGGUACACCAAGAAUAAGAGACGGCUAACUACGUGCCAGCAGUCGCGGUAAUACGUAGGUCUCAAGCGUUAUCCGGAUUUACUGGGCGUAAAGUAUCCGUAGCCUGAUAUGUAAGUCUGUUUUCAAAUCCCACGACUCAAUCGUGGAAAGGGAAUGGAUACUGCAUAUCUAGAAGUUAUUGGGGGUUAGUGGAAUUUCCGGUGGAGCGGUGAAAUGCGUUGAUAUCGGAAAGAACGCCGAAAGCGAAAGCAGCUAACUAUGAUUAACUUGACGGUGAGGGAUGAAAGUUUGGGUAGCAAACGGGAUUAGAUACCCCGGUAGUCCAAACUGUAAAUUAUGCUUGCUAGGUGCUUCGAUCCUUGUGGUCGGAGUGCCGUAAUCUAACGAGUUAAGCAAGUCGCCUGGGUAGUAUAUUCGCAAGAAUGAAACUCAAAGGGAUAGGCGGGGGAACACACAAGCAGUGGAUUAUCUAGAUUAAUUGGAUAAUAAGCCAAGAAUCUUACCUAGAAUUGACAUGCAUUGUGUCUCAUAUGAAAGUAUGAUAUUUGUAGCAAUACAGAGCUUUGCACAGGUGGUGCAUGGUCGUCGUCAGCUCGUGCCGCAAGGUGUCCAGUUAA
Molecule: ribosomal RNA, 619 nt
Filed under: uncultured candidate division SR1 bacterium
Lineage: Bacteria; Candidatus Absconditibacteriota
Description: bacterial SSU rRNA
Rfam family: Bacterial small subunit ribosomal RNA
Source: RNAcentral